CUACGGGGGGCACCAGUAGGGAAUAUUGCGCAAUGGGCGAAAGCCUGACGCAGCAACGCCGCGUGGAUGAUGAAGGCCUUUGGGUCGUAAAAUCCUUUCAGGAGGGAAGAAACGUCGAUGUGCCAAUAACACAUCAACCUGACGGUACCUCCAGAAGAAGCACCGGCUAACUCCGUGCCAGCAGCCGCGGUAAUACGGAGGGUGCAAGCGUUGUUCGGAAUCACUGGGCGUAAAGGGCACGCAGGCGGUACUCUAAGUCGGAUGUGAAAUCCUACGGCUCAACCGUAGAAAUGCACCCGGUACUGGAGAACUUGAGUACGGGAGAGGGAAGCGGAAUUCCAGGUGUAGAGGUGAAAUGCGUAGAUAUGUGGAGGAACACCAAUGGCGAAGGCAGCUCUCUGGCCUGAUACUGACGCUGAGGUGCGAAAGCGUGGGGAGCAAACAGGAUUAGAUACCCGAGUAGUC
Molecule: ribosomal RNA, 465 nt
Filed under: uncultured bacterium
Lineage: Bacteria
Description: partial 16S ribosomal RNA
Rfam family: Bacterial small subunit ribosomal RNA
Source: RNAcentral